UCGUGAAUUCAUCUCCGGGGGUAGAGCACUGUUUCGGCAAGGGGGUCAUCCCGACUUACCAACCCGAUGCAAACUGCGAAUACCGGAGAAUGUUAUCACGGGAGACACACGGCGGGUGCUAACGUCCGUCGUGAAGAGGGAAACAACCCAGACCGCCAGCUAAGGUCCCAAAGUCAUGGUUAAGUGGGAAACGAUGUGGGAAGGCCCAGACAGCCAGGAUGUUGGCUUAGAAGCAGCCAUCAUUUAAAGAAAGCGUAAUAGCUCACUGGUCGAGUCGGCCUGCGCGGAAGAUGUAACGGGGCUAAACCAUGCACCGAAGC
RNAcentral lists this ribosomal RNA (320 nucleotides) under Escherichia coli. RNAcentral describes it as "partial 23S ribosomal RNA". It matches the Rfam family "Bacterial large subunit ribosomal RNA", at positions 882 to 1200 of the family's 2925-position model. The record is from RNAcentral. Lineage: Bacteria; Pseudomonadati; Pseudomonadota; Gammaproteobacteria; Enterobacterales; Enterobacteriaceae.